RNAcentral lists this ribosomal RNA (501 nucleotides) under uncultured bacterium. RNAcentral's name for it is "partial 16S ribosomal RNA". It matches the Rfam family "Bacterial small subunit ribosomal RNA", at positions 30 to 523 of the family's 1533-position model. The record is from RNAcentral.
AUUGAACGCUGGCGGCAGGCUUAACACAUGCAAGUCGAGCGGAGAUGAGGUGCUUGCACCUUAUCUUAGCGGCGGACGGGUGAGUAAUGCUUAGGAAUCUGCCUAUUAGUGGGGGACAACAUUCCGAAAGGAAUGCUAAUACCGCAUACGUCCUACGGGAGAAAGCAGGGGAUCUUCGGACCUUGCGCUAAUAGAUGAGCCUAAGGCGGAUUAGCUAGUUGGUGGGGUAAAGGCCUACCAAGGCGACGAUCUGUAGCGGGUCUGAGAGGAUGAUCCGCCACACGGGGACUGAGACACGGCCCAGACUCCUACGGGAGGCAGCAGUGGGGAAUAUUGGACAAUGGGGGAAACCCUGAUCCAGCCAUGCCGCGUGUGUGAAGAAGGCCUUAUGGUUGUAAAGCACUUUAAGCGAGGAGGAGGCUACUGAGACUAAUACUCUUGGAUAGUGGACGUUACUCGCAGAAUAAGCACCGGCUAACUCUGUGCCAGCCGCCGCCGUAA